CCAUCAUGACUUAAUAAACCUAUAAAAGCAUAUGUCUUUAACAAUAAAUUUAUCCAUGUUGGAAUAAUCAUUAUCAUU
This 78-nucleotide small RNA is filed under the name Staphylococcus aureus. Its description in RNAcentral is "Transcript". Lineage: Bacteria; Bacillati; Bacillota; Bacilli; Caryophanales; Staphylococcaceae. The record is from RNAcentral.